ACAUGUUCCGAGGGGUGUCCUGCGCAGGCAGGGCUGAGAUGGCGUCAGCCGGACCCUUUGAACCUGAUCCGGGUCAUGCCGGCGAAGGGACGGGAAUCAUCAAGCAC
This 107-nucleotide non-coding RNA is filed under the name Frateuria aurantia. RNAcentral's name for it is "TPP sequence". It matches the Rfam family "TPP riboswitch aptamer (THI element)". Rfam says of the family: Vitamin B(1) in its active form thiamin pyrophosphate (TPP) is an essential coenzyme that is synthesised by coupling of pyrimidine and thiazole moieties in bacteria. Lineage: Bacteria; Pseudomonadati; Pseudomonadota; Gammaproteobacteria; Lysobacterales; Rhodanobacteraceae. RNAcentral also lists the same sequence under 1 other name. The record is from RNAcentral.